GCAUUGUAUGGCCAGUAGGCCAUACAGCAGAUUCAGGAUACAGAGGGAGCCACAACAAUGUGUAUAUCUGUGCACCUGUUGCGUGGAUGGUCCCCAAAGGGAACCGGAAGACUGUGGCAAAUCCUUUGGAGCUGGAAAUAGAGGAAGUUUGAACACUGGGAAAGAAAAAUAUUGAUUGUAUAAUUAACUGUGACCUGCAAGAGGAGCAACUGCCAAAAUUGGUUUUCUUCGAUUGUUUUUGUUGUUGUUGUUGUUGUUGUUGUUGUUUUUUGUUUUGGCCUGUAAGAGGUUGAAUGAAAAGCAAGCAGUAUAAGGAGAUAUUUAAAGGGCAAUAGUCACUAAAAUUUAAAUUAUCAACAUGAUUAUAUUUCUCCAUAAAUUACUUUAAUUGCAGGUUUAUUCUAAUAGGAAUGUAGUCAUGAGAAAAACUAGACAAAAAAUUUUGGAAAAAAUUUAGAGUCUGAUAUGUGAAUUAUUUUAUAACCUUUAGUCUAUAUUUUUCAUCAUUUUAAAGGUUCUUAAUAUGUUACUAACGACUUCAUUAUCUUAACAGAAUACACAAUAAAUGAACACAGAUGUCAUUCACAAAGAAAGUAAAGUCAUUUAUUCUGGAUUUUGAAGCUUCUUUACAGAUUGAAAUUAAAUUUGGAACUUUAAUUAUGCUUACAAAGCAUUGAAAUAUUCAUCGCAGCCCUGUCAACAGGAUACUAUGUUCUCCUUUAAAAAACAAAUUCAAAGAACCUAUGUUCUUUAACUAAUUUGCUCCUCUCCCCUAAAUAAAGAGGCAAAGAUACCCUACUUGUCUGCCCAGAAAGCCAUGACCAAAUGCGACUGAGUCAGUGACCUAAAAUAACAGCUCAUUUUCACUUAAUGUCCCAGAAGAAAAUACUGCCAGGGUUGGUUUCUGAUAAGAACAAAUCUGGGACAGAAAUUUUGACUGUGAUUUGGAAACCCUACUUUUCCUCUUGAGGCUCUGAAUAUCUACUGGAGGUGCACACAUAGAGUUACCUCUCCCCACUGUUCAGACAUUUUGGCUAAGGAGAACAAGCCUCAGAAUAUGUGAUGGGACCAGGGAAAUACACAAUGGGAUGUCCUUCCCAACUUAGUAACUGACUUGAAAUCAAACAAUGUGGAGAGUGAGAAGCAGUCAGCAAUGAGCUGUUUCCUUGAAUGCUUCUUGAACACACUUCUUUCUGAAACAUUCAGUGACAUGAAUCUGGUAUUAAUUCUGAACCUGCUUCCAUUCUUCUAUGAGAUCUCACGUGAACCAUUACAUAUCCUAAAAACUUUAAAGCUCCUGAACAAUAUAAGAAAUCCCCACUACCUAUAUCCUACAAUGAGUCAAAAUAACUAAGGCAUUGCUGCUGGAGCAGAUUGAUGUUUUUAUCACCACCCUAGAGAAGAAUUAAGAGACAUAGGUUGUCAACAAUGACUACCACCCUUAGAAAACAUUUGGGAAAAUAAAGUUGUUAGUGAAGC
Molecule: long non-coding RNA, 1479 nt
Organism: Mus musculus (house mouse)
Lineage: Eukaryota; Metazoa; Chordata; Mammalia; Rodentia; Muridae
Product: RIKEN cDNA 4930474H20 gene
Exons: 9
Source: RefSeq, marked validated